Molecule: small nuclear RNA, 106 nt
Organism: Zalophus californianus (California sea lion)
Lineage: Eukaryota; Metazoa; Chordata; Mammalia; Carnivora; Otariidae
Source: Ensembl
GUGCUUGCUUCGGCAGCACAUACACUAAAAUUGGAACGAUACAGAGAGAUUAGCAUGGCCCCUGCACAAGGAUGACACGCAAAUUCAUGACACGUUCCAUAUUUUA